This 328-nucleotide ribosomal RNA is filed under the name uncultured bacterium. Its description in RNAcentral is "bacterial SSU rRNA". It matches the Rfam family "Bacterial small subunit ribosomal RNA", at positions 568 to 898 of the family's 1533-position model. The record is from RNAcentral.
AGCGCAGGCGGGUUGGCAAGUCCUUGGUGAAAUCCUGAGGCUUAACCUCAGGACUGCCAAUGAUACUGCCGAUCUUGAGUGCAGAAGAGGAAGACGGAAUUCCUGGUGUAGCGGUGAAAUGCGUAGAUAUCAGGAGGAACACCGGUGGCGAAGGCGGUCUUCUGGUCUGUAACUGACGCUCAUGCUCGAAAGCGUGGGGAGCAAACAGGAUUAGAUACCCUGGUAGUCCACGCCCUAAACGAUGGAUACUCGAUGUCGGGUCGCAAGGCCCGGUGUCCAAGCUAACGCGUUAAGUAUCCCACCUGGGGAGUACGAUCGCAAGGUUGAA